This 498-nucleotide ribosomal RNA is filed under the name uncultured bacterium. RNAcentral describes it as "partial 16S ribosomal RNA". It matches the Rfam family "Bacterial small subunit ribosomal RNA", at positions 29 to 507 of the family's 1533-position model. The record is from RNAcentral.
AGCGAACGCUGGCGGCGUGCCUAACACAUGCAAGUCGAACGUGAAAAGGGAAACCUGAGUAAGGUGGCGUACGGGUGAGUAACGCGUAGGUAGUCUACCCCAGAAUCUGGAAUAACCUGCCGAAAGGCGGGCUAAUACUGGAUAGAGCGAGGGAACUCGUAAGAGAGUUUUUCGGGAAAGAGAGCCCGCAAGGGCCUGCGUUCUGGGAUGAGCCUGCGUCUCAUUAGCUAGUUGGUAAGGUAACGGCUUACCAAGGCGAUGAUGAGUAGCUGGUCGGAGAGGAUGGACAGCCACACUGGAACUGAAACACGGGACAGACUCCUAAGGGAGGCGGCAGUGGGGAGUCUUGCGCAAUGGACGAAAGUCUGACGCAGCCACGCCGCGUGAGUGAAGAAGGACUUCGGGUUGUAGAGCUCUGUCGGAUGGGACGAACAUCUUCAUAGUGAAUAGCUAUGAGGACUGACGGUACCAGCAAAGGAAGCAACGGCUAACUCCGUG